GGGGCGGCUCAGGUGGGACCGGGGUGGAGGACCGGGAUAAGGGACUGGGAUAAGGGAGCGUGUCCCGGCACUAACUCGUGGGCUGGGCGGCGUCAGCCCGGGCUAGGGCUAAACCCGACGUGCCUGAGGAAGCGACAGCGAGAUGCGGAGAGUCCUGCUCCGCCUGCACGGCCCCGGCAGCCUCUGUCCCUUCCUCCAUCCUUCCCUCUCUCCUUCCCUCCAUCCGUCCUGCUCCGCCCUGCGCCCGAUGAGCGAGUGCUUCUCUGCUUGUCCCUGGUGACCUCCCAGAUUUCCGUAUGGGGGAUUUUGUACCCGGCUGAACUCCCGCUAAGUAGCAGCUGCUUGGUUAAAUAAGGUCUCCCAAGGAUAACAUUGUUAAUCUCCAAAGAUGACAGCUGUUGCAGUGCUAGAGGAGGUGCUGGCUUCCAUUGAGAAUGAGCUGCAAGCAGUGGAGAUGCAGAUACAGGAGCUUGUGGAUAAACAGCAGGAACUCAUUCAAAAGAAGAUGAGAGUGAAGAAUCUGAUAAAACAGUCCUCAGGAGACGUGGAGGCAGGUGGAAGUAAAGACACCGAAACCUCAGCCGAGGCAUGGAACAAAAAAGAUUUUCCAUGGUAUGAGAAGAUAAAAACUGCACUGCAGGGCAAAUUUAAACUCCAGAAGUUUAGGUCACUGCAACUUGAAACAGUAAAUGCUGCAAUGGCAGGAAAGGAUAUAUUUCUUGUCAUGCCUACAGGUGGUGGCAAGAGCCUUUGCUACCAGUUACCAGCUGUCUGUUCUGAUGGUUUCACACUCGUGAUAUGUCCUUUGAUAUCUCUUAUGGAAGAUCAGCUCAUGGUUUUGGAACAGCUUGGUAUUUCUGCAGCUUCAUUAAAUGCCUCGAGCAGCAAGGAACACGUGAAGUGGGUCCACAGCGAAAUGCUAAACAGGAAUUCACAACUGAAGCUCAUUUAUGUGACCCCAGAGAAGAUUGCAAAGAGCAAGAUGUUCAUGUCCAAGCUGGAGAAGGCUUACCAGGCCGGGUGUCUGGCUCGUGUUGCUGUGGAUGAGGUCCAUUGCUGUAGUCAGUGGGGCCAUGACUUCAGGCCUGACUACAAGUCUCUUGGUAUCUUGAAAAGACAGUUUCCCAAUACUCCCUUGAUUGGAUUGACAGCAACAGCUACAAAUCAUGUUUUAAAGGAUGCUCAGAAAAUUUUGCAGGUUCAGAAGUGCAUUACCUUUACUGCCUCGUUCAACCGGCCCAACCUGUACUAUGAGGUUCGGCAUAAACCUUCAAAUAAUGACGAUUUCAUUGAGGACAUAGUUAAAACCAUUAAUGGAAGAUACAAAGGACUGUCAGGAAUUGUUUACUGUUUUUCUCAGAAGGAUUCCGAGCAAGUUACUGUGAGUUUGCAGAAACUGGGAAUCAAGGCAGGGACUUACCAUGCAAACAUGGAUGCUAAAUAUAAAACCAAAGUUCAUAAAGGAUGGGCAGCAAAUCAAAUCCAGGUUGUAGUGGCAACUGUUGCUUUUGGCAUGGGAAUUGAUAAACCUGAUGUGAGGUUUGUAAUUCAUCAUUCUAUGAGCAAAUCCAUGGAGAACUACUACCAAGAGAGUGGACGUGCAGGUAGAGAUGACCAAAAAGCUGACUGCAUUUUGUAUUAUGGUUUUGGAGAUAUAUUCAGGAUCAGCUCAAUGGUAGUGAUGGAAAAUGUUGGGCAAGAGAAGCUCUAUGAUAUGGUAUCUUACUGCCAAAAUAUGAACAAGUGUCGCCGGGUGCUCAUAGCCCAUCACUUUGAUGAGGUGUGGGAUUCUGCAAACUGCAACAGAAUGUGUGAUAACUGCUGCAGAGAGAACGCAUGUGAGAAGAUGGAUGUAACAGGAUACUGCAGGGAUCUAAUCAAGAUACUUGAGCAAGCUGAAAGCAUGAGUGAGAAACUCACCCCACUGAAACUAAUUGAUGCGUGGUCUGGGAAAGGUGUGUCCAAGUUCAGGGUGGCUGAAGUUACUCCACCAAAGCACCCUCGAGAGGAACUGGAGAGAAUUAUUGCCCAUCUACUGCUGCAGCAGUAUCUGAAGGAAGACUUCAGCUUCACGGCAUUCGCUACAAUAUCCUACCUGAAGGUGGGACCCAAAGCCCAUCUGCUGAGAAACGAGGCCCAUGUCAUCACUAUAGAGGGGAUAACAAACAGGAAGAGUGUUCACAAGGUCAAACCAUCUCAACCUUCAAAUUCGAAAGGAAGCAGCGAAAAUGCUCAGACUGUUUCAAAGGCUGUCCAGGAUUCAGUGGGGAAGAAGUUACAGGAGCAUAAGCGGCCUGGCUGUGGGUCUAACUUAAAAGCAAAGAAGCCAAAGCUUGAGGCAGGUGGAGUUGACCAACCAGUGGUUAUUGACUGAGUUUCACAGACUACAUUUAGGAUCUAAUCACGUUUACUUCUCCAUGGACAAUGCACCCAUAUUCCAGGUGGUGAGAGCUCUGAGCAUCCUGUAUCCUAAAACUGUUCAUCUGAGCCAGCUGGACAGAGCUGUGGCAGGUACUCACUGGUGUGAGCAGGGGAGUGGUGCCA
RNA transcript from Lepidothrix coronata (blue-crowned manakin), 2544 nucleotides. It is a transcript of the gene named RecQ like helicase, with no coding region annotated. The transcript is spliced from 17 exons. NCBI's taxonomy places the organism in Eukaryota, Metazoa, Chordata, Aves, Passeriformes, Pipridae. The record is from RefSeq and is a predicted model, not a curated record.